UCAGGAUGAACGCUAGCGGCAGGCUUAACACAUGCAAGUCGAGGGGCAGCGGGAUGUAGCAAUACAUUGCCGGCGACCGGCGGAUGGGUGCGUAACGCGUAUGCAACCUACCUUAUACAGGGGAAUAACCUUUCGAAAGGGAGACUAACACCCCAUAGUAUUGAUUUAGGGCAUCUUAGAUUAAUUAAAUAUUUAUAGGUAUAAGAUGGGCAUGCGUAUGAGUAGCUAGUUGGUAAGGUAACGGCUUACCAAGGCGACGAUCAUUAGGGGUUCUGAGAGGAAGGUCCCCCACACUGGUACUGAGACACGGACCAGACUCCUACGGGAGGCAGCAGUGAGGAAUAUUGGUCAAUGGGCGCAAGCCUGAACCAGCCAUGCCGCGUGCAAGGAAGACGGCCUUAUGGGUUGUAAACUGCUUUUACAUAAGACUAACCGUAUAUUUGCGAAUAUACCUGAAUGUAUUAUGAGAAUAAGGAUCGGCUAACUCCGUGCCAGCCGCCGC
This 502-nucleotide ribosomal RNA is filed under the name uncultured bacterium. RNAcentral describes it as "bacterial SSU rRNA". It matches the Rfam family "Bacterial small subunit ribosomal RNA", at positions 24 to 518 of the family's 1533-position model. The record is from RNAcentral.